This is a long non-coding RNA of Cimex lectularius (bed bug), 928 nucleotides long. RefSeq lists it as uncharacterized. The record is from RefSeq and is a predicted model, not a curated record. NCBI's taxonomy places the organism in Eukaryota, Metazoa, Arthropoda, Insecta, Hemiptera, Cimicidae. The transcript is spliced from 2 exons.
UUGAAUUCGUGUCUGUUUUAGAUCAUCCUGGACCGCCCAUCAUCGCAAUUUUGGUGUUUCAGACGCUUUUCUCUAAUGCAGAUUGGGGUUUGUUGAGCCAAAGCAGCGAGGCAGUCAGACCACCGGUCACCCGCCGUAGACCUCAAAAAUAAAUCUCGCAAUGUACGCUCAUUUGCAACAGUAAUUCAAUGUGAUUUAUGGUUGACUUUGUAAAAUAUGAGAGAGAAAAGAAGUUUGGUUUACAUAUUCAAUCCUCAUGUAUCGCAUGUUUAUAAAAAAAAAAAAUACUUGAAACUAUUGGGUUUAUAUGAAAGACAAACGAUUCAAGUUUAACAUUGGACUGGUUCUCAUGUCCCACGAAGCGAAAAUUACAUAUCGAAAGGAUUGAGAGAGGUCCGUUACUUCCUCUUCAAAUUAUUUUACUUUACGUCAGAAUUAUUUUCCAAUUUUAACUUUCUUGAUCAAGAUUUCUCAUACGAGGAAAUCAAAUAGGCAAAAGCGAUGAAUGGCGGAAUCAAGAACUCAACUGGAAAACCCUGGAAAACGUUUUAUAUUGGAAUUAUUUGCGAACAGCACCUAGCGAGUGGUCCAUCAGGUCUUGAUUUUUAGCCCUCGCACCUAAGGUUCAAGUGGGUAAAAGCCGGCUAAUGAGAUAACCGGUUUAACAAUCGGGACGGGUUGGUGGACUUUUAUUUCCACCUGGUUUUCCUUCCUCAGGCGGAUAUUUAACUUCAAGGAAAUUAUUAAAACCCAAUAAUUUACGACCAGAAAAAGAAAGGAAGCAAAUACGGGAGAGAUAACUACAUAUACUCCGUUGUGAUUUAUACUCUACGCUUUUAUUUUUUCUCUCCGGAUUGGACGUUACAUCCACGGAGAUUCAGGUCAUCAAGGUUAGGUGUGUAACUGAUGCUCUCUAGUGAUUAAAUUG